CAAGGUGCUGCAUGGUUGUCGUCAGCUCGUGCCGUGAGGUGUCCGGGUUAAGUCCCAUAACGAGCGCAACCCUUACCGUUAGUUGCCAUCGGGGUCAAGCCGGGGACUCUAGCGGGACUGCCACCGUAAGGUGAGAGGAAGGUGGGGAUGACGUCAAAUCAGCACGGCCCUUAUGUCCAGGGCUACACACGUGUUACAAUGGCCGGUACAGAGGGCAGCUACCUGGUGACAGGAUGCUAAUCCCGAAAGCCGGUCCCAGUUCGGAUUGGAGUCUGCAACCCGACUCCAUGAAGUUGGAUUCGCUAGUAAUCGCGCAUCAGCCAUGGCGCGGUGAAUACGUUCCCGGGCCUU
This 351-nucleotide ribosomal RNA is filed under the name uncultured Sphingobacteriales bacterium. Its description in RNAcentral is "bacterial SSU rRNA". It matches the Rfam family "Bacterial small subunit ribosomal RNA", at positions 1034 to 1382 of the family's 1533-position model. The record is from RNAcentral. Lineage: Bacteria; Pseudomonadati; Bacteroidota; Sphingobacteriia; Sphingobacteriales.